CUGUCAAUUUUUGGUUGGGUUCAUGGGCCAAGCCCAAUAUUGCAGCCUUAUUAUUGUUGGGUCGUUGCCUUUUUGUCUCAACAGUUUCAUUUUUUUCUUUUUUUAUAAAGUGGGUUCACUAGUCAGGUGGGUCCCCAUUGUGAGGUUCUAGUACUAGGUCCUAGCCGUCAGGGCAAUAUUCUUCAUUUUUUUAAAUUCAAUGCAAAUAAAUACCUAGUAUAUAAUUGGCACACAGAACACACGAAAUACUUCAAAUAUGAUCAACAAUCAAAGUGCUACAUCAUAUAACACGUACAAAUGUGAUCAGCAUCAAGUUUACAAUCAGAUAACAAGGUCCACAAGUGUACAAUCACAUGAGCCAGAUUCUUCUACAUCAUAUAACACACAUACAAAUAGGAGCAGCAUAAAGGGCUUCAUUACUCUCAGAACUAGCUUCAAUGAGCUAGAACUAUUCUUCCUCCAACUUCUUUGUCCCGAUGAUCACGAAAAAACAUGAAAGCCCAGCAUCUGCACGUUACAAAACAAAAUGUUUAGGAACAAAAUAGAAGUAAAUCUAACAGCAUAUUUAACAAUAAAUAACAGAAUAAUGAAGUUAAUGAGACAUUUUAGAAUCAACUUGACAGUUGACAGUAAUGUUUGCAUUGGACAUAUCUAAAACUAAAAUUAUACAUAAAUGCCUAAAUUCCAAUUCCCAAUGCCUCAGUUUAGUAAACACUAAGCAUGGUACAUAGUAAAGAUUUGACACAACCAGAACUGAAAUCAUUUACUCUAUCAAGCAACAAUGAUGCAGCACACAAGAAAAGAGAGAUGCACAACGGAGCAACAUCGUAUAUCACACAAUAUGGACACUGUCAGCUCACGAAUGAACUUGUGGUCGCCGCCGUACACAGCCGCCAUAACGUCGGUCACCUCGUUGAUCUUGUCCUUAAAGUUCUCUAACUCCAGGUUGUUCCACUGCAGCUCGGUAUUUGCUCAACCGUAUGUGUACAUGCAUCAAGGCAUACAUAAAAUAUUCAAUUCAAUAUUCUCAGCUAAUUGUGAUGUAAUGAAAAUAAUUACUUACGGAAUAGGGGUAAAAAUUGAUUUUAGAGAUCAAAAUUUGUAGCGCUCAUUUCAACCAUGUUCAGAUAAACAGUAAAUUAGCAGUAAGGAUAUUAGUUACAUGCUGGGUGUGUUACUGCUGUCCAACACCACCACCACCAGAGACACGCAAGAUAAGCAUCAACACCACCAUGAUAUUGAUAUUAGCCACCCCACAUCACCAGAGCAUCAUAGGAGCACAUAUAUAACACAAGUACACGUGGGCAGCUACUGACAGACCCUAGAACCGCAUGAAUUUAUCACCAGAGAGCUCCAGUAGGAGUUGGUGCUUGGUUACAACAUCUAGCAGCAACUAGUUGAGCCCCACAUCCAACCCAAAUCAUGGCCAAGGGGAGGAGCUCACCAGAGGGAGGUUGUAGCCGUAGCAGAGGCUCAGCUACACCACGGCUGU
This 1492-nucleotide long non-coding RNA is filed under the name Triticum aestivum (bread wheat). RNAcentral's name for it is "long non-coding RNA (TAES_LNC021958)". Lineage: Eukaryota; Viridiplantae; Streptophyta; Magnoliopsida; Poales; Poaceae. The record is from RNAcentral.